UGAACUAAACUUAUGAAAUAU
Molecule: non-coding RNA, 21 nt
Filed under: Caenorhabditis elegans
Lineage: Eukaryota; Metazoa; Nematoda; Chromadorea; Rhabditida; Rhabditidae
Source: RNAcentral